RNAcentral lists this ribosomal RNA (1125 nucleotides) under Strelitziana africana. Its description in RNAcentral is "eukaryotic LSU rRNA". The stretch from base 531 to 1125 matches the Rfam family "Eukaryotic large subunit ribosomal RNA", at positions 1 to 605 of the family's 3401-position model. Lineage: Eukaryota; Fungi; Ascomycota; Eurotiomycetes; Chaetothyriales; Trichomeriaceae. The record is from RNAcentral.
UUACCGAGUUAGGGUUUGCCUUUUUAGGUGCCCGACCUCCCAACCCUUUGUCUAUGAUACCUAUUGUUGCUUCGGCGCGCCCGAGGGGUCGUACCCUCGCCUGGACUCGUGCCGGGAGCGUGGCCGCCGAUGGCCCAAUUUGAACUAUUGAACCCAAAACCUGUCGUCUGAAAACGUUAUGAUUUACAAUCAAAAACAAAACUUUCAACAACGGAUCUCUUGGUUCUGGCAUCGAUGAAGAACGCAGCGAAAUGCGAUAAGUAAUGCGAAUUGCAGAAUUUCCGUGAGUCAUCGAAUCUUUGAACGCACAUUGCGCCCACUGGUAUUCCGGUGGGCAUGCCUGUUCGAGCGUCAUUAUCCUCUCUCCCAACCUCUGGUCGGGGCGUUGGAUCGAGUUGUGGGUCUCGUCCGCAACUGGUCUCAAAGACAAUGACGGCGUCCGUGGGACCCUCUUCGCAACGAGUCUUUCGAGGCACGCGGGGAGUUGCAAGGUCUCGUCGGGUCGGUCGACACCUUUAUUUUUUCUAGGUUGACCUCGGAUCAGGUAGGAAUACCCGCUGAACUUAAGCAUAUCAAUAAGCGGAGGAAAAGAAACCAACAGGGAUUGCCUCAGUAACGGCGAGUGAAGCGGCAACAGCUCAAAUUUGAAAUCUGGCCCUCGGGUCCGAGUUGUAAUUUGUAGAGGAUGUUUCGGGCACCGUCGCGGUGUAAAUUUCUUGGAACAGAAUGUCAUAGAGGGUGAGAUCCCCGUCUGCCACCGCGAUAGGACCCAUGUGAAACUCCUUCGACGAGUCGAGUUGUUUGGGAAUGCAGCUCAAAAUGGGUGGUAAAUUUCAUCUAAAGCUAAAUAUUGGCCAGAGACCGAUAGCGCACAAGUAGAGUGAUCGAAAGAUGAAAAGCACUUUGAAAAGAGAGUUAAACAGUAUGUGAAAUUGUUGAAAGGGAAGCGCAGGCAAUCAGACUCGAGCGCGGAGUUCCCCCUGGCUUCUGCCAGGGUCACUUCUCCGUGACCGGGCCAACAUCAGUUUGAGGGGCCGGUUAAAGGCCCUGGGAAUGUAUCCAUCCCUUCGGGGUUGGACUUAUAGCUCAGGGUGUCAUGCGGCCUCCUCGGACUGAGGAACGCGC